CACUACAGCCACGCUAUCUUGGAUAAGCCCGAUCCCAUCUGAUCUCAGAAGCUAAGCAGGGUCAGGCCUGGUUAGUACUUGGAUGGGAGACCACCUAGGAAGACCAGGUGCUGUAGGUG
Molecule: ribosomal RNA, 119 nt
Filed under: Pteropus alecto (black flying fox)
Lineage: Eukaryota; Metazoa; Chordata; Mammalia; Chiroptera; Pteropodidae
Source: RNAcentral